CCUACGGGAGGCUGCAGUGAGGAAUAUUGGUCAAUGGACGAGAGUCUGAACCAGCCAAGUAGCGUGAAGGAUGACUGCCCUAUGGGUUGUAAACUUCUUUUAUAAAGGAAUAAAACGAGGCACGUGUGCCUUUUUGCAUGUACUUUAUGAAUAAGGAUCGGCUAACUCCGUGCCAGCAGCCGCGGUAAUACGGAGGAUCCGAGCGUUAUCCGGAUUUAGUGGGUUUAAAGGGAGCGUAGAUGGGUUGUUAAGUCAGUUGUGAAAGUUUGCGGCUCAACCGUAAAAUUGCAAUUGAUACUGGCAGUCUUGAGUACAGUUGAGGUAGGCGGAAUUCGUGGUGUAGCGGUGAAAUGCUUAGAUAUCACGAAGAACCCCGAUUGCGAAGGCAGCUUACUAAGCUGUGACUGACAUUGAUGCUCGAAAGUGUGGGUAUCAAACAGGAUUAGAUACCCGUGUAGUC
RNAcentral lists this ribosomal RNA (460 nucleotides) under uncultured bacterium. RNAcentral describes it as "partial 16S ribosomal RNA". It matches the Rfam family "Bacterial small subunit ribosomal RNA", at positions 338 to 795 of the family's 1533-position model. The record is from RNAcentral.